GAAUGAAAAAGCCCAAAGCUUUGCAACGCAGAUCACAGUUGUAUUGGGUUGGGUCAAUGAUUUCACGUCAUGGAACGCCAGUAACUUUUGUGGGAUCCAAACAUGUACAAUUCAGAAAGAUAAGCUCUGGACUCCAGACAUUGGCAUUGCUGAAAGCAUCGCGACAGAAUUUGCAUCUAUGGAAAAUUCUUAUGUAAAGAUGUUCAGUGAGGGUCAUGUACUCCUGUCUGAAACUUUAAUUUUGACCACCGCCUGCAAGAUGGACCUGUACAUGUUUCCCUUUGAUUCCCAAACCUGUACUCUGACUCUUCAGUCCGCAUUGC
Misgurnus anguillicaudatus (oriental weatherfish) is the source of this 323-nucleotide non-coding RNA. The record is from RefSeq and is a predicted model, not a curated record. NCBI's taxonomy places the organism in Eukaryota, Metazoa, Chordata, Actinopteri, Cypriniformes, Cobitidae.